GUGUUGUAUGAUAGGCAAGAAGGUUAGCACUCACCUUAACAAGGAUGGAAAAGGGUCUAGUGAUCUAUACAACAUACAUAUGGUGUACCAUCUAACUAU
This 99-nucleotide non-coding RNA is filed under the name Dasypus novemcinctus (nine-banded armadillo). The record is from RNAcentral. Lineage: Eukaryota; Metazoa; Chordata; Mammalia; Cingulata; Dasypodidae.